RNAcentral lists this ribosomal RNA (392 nucleotides) under uncultured bacterium. RNAcentral describes it as "bacterial SSU rRNA". It matches the Rfam family "Bacterial small subunit ribosomal RNA", at positions 37 to 433 of the family's 1533-position model. The record is from RNAcentral.
UAGCGGAAUGGUUUACACAUGCAAGUCGAACGGCAGCACGGGGCAACCUGGUGGCGAGUGGCGAACGGGUGAGUAAUACAUCGGAACGUGCCCAAUCGUGGGGGAUAACGUAGCGAAAGUUACGCUAAUACCGCAUACGAUCUACGGAUGAAAGCGGGGGAUCGCAAGACCUCGCGCGAAUGGAGCGGCCGAUGUCAGAUUAGGUAGUUGGUGGGGUAAAGGCUCACCAAGCCGACGAUCUGUAGCUGGUCUGAGAGGACGACCAGCCACACUGGGACUGAGACACGGCCCAGACUCCUACGGGAGGCAGCAGUGGGGAAUUUCGGACAAUGGGCGCAAGCCUGAUCCAGCCAUUCCGCGUGCAGGAUGAAGGCCUUCGGGUUGUAAACUGC